AAUCAACGCUGGCGGCGUGCCUAACACAUGCAAGUCGAACGAGAAGGUGACUUCGGUCACUGGAUAGUGGCGUCCGGGUGAGUAACACGUAGGUAACCUACCUUCGGGUGGGGAAUAACGUCUCGAAAGAGACGCUAAUACCGCAUAAUGCAGCGGCACCUAAUGGUGAUUAGUUGUUAAAGCGGGGGAUCUUCGGACCUCGCGCCUGAAGAGGAGCCUGCGGCAGAUUAGCUAGUUGGUGAGGUAAUGGCUCACCAAGGCUUCGAUCUGUAGCUGGUCUGAGAGGACGGCCAGCCACACUGGCACUGACAC
RNAcentral lists this ribosomal RNA (312 nucleotides) under uncultured bacterium. RNAcentral describes it as "bacterial SSU rRNA". It matches the Rfam family "Bacterial small subunit ribosomal RNA", at positions 32 to 325 of the family's 1533-position model. The record is from RNAcentral.